Small nucleolar RNA from Salvia splendens (bonfire salvia), 103 nucleotides. Lineage: Eukaryota; Viridiplantae; Streptophyta; Magnoliopsida; Lamiales; Lamiaceae. The record is from RefSeq and is a predicted model, not a curated record.
ACUUAAGUAGUGUAUUUGCUGUAAACAUGGACGUAAAUCAAUAUGUGGGCAUAAGAUGGAUGUGCAAGGAAUUGCAUGUCCAUAAAGAAACCUAUGGCUAUGA